UACAGCUUUAAUUUCCCUUAUCCAUUUUUAUAUCCACUUUCCAGUAAAGGAUUCAAUUUAUUGAAACAAAGAAAUGUACUUUGUAUGGUAGCUAAUCAUCCUUGCUGUGCUUGUUAAGGAGCAAAUAAAUAUAGGGUUGGUGACGAAAGUAAUCCCAACCAAACCUGAUAAUGAAUUCUCAUCCAACCUUUGAUUUUAAAAUUAAAAUCAAUAAUAAGACUUUGUAGCGACUCUACUUUGAGGGUGUGAUGCCCGAUGCCUCUUAACAUAGGCUUUGAUUCACCUGUGGUCAGAUGACAGAUUUAAUGAGGUCUAGAGAGCAUCAUUGCCACUACAUGUUCACUAUUGCUCACCAAUCCUGAAGGGCCCAAUUUAAGGUGCCUACCUUUUUUGGCCCCCAUCAGUUUUAAGGAACAACCUUAAAGGAAAAAACUCAUUCCUACUGCAGAUCCUCAACCAUUAAUCUAAUAAGUUUGUCUCUAUAAAAAAUCCACACUUCCCUAAACUUGCUUUCCAUGCUCAUCUUUUGAUAUCCACUCCUUAAACAGACGAGAGAUCCAGGAAUUUGAUUCCACGAGUUUCAAAUAUACACACAAAAUCAACUCAUAACACAAUGCCUCUAUUAACCAUUGGUAAUCACACAAAAAGUCUUGCAAAUGCAAUUGUCAGACAGGCUUCUCACCAGGAAGGUAAGAAGGAGAUCCACCUUCAAUUUGGUUCUUCUUACGCUGGAAGAUGCCACUGAGAUUAGGCAGAAGUACUUUCUUGGAAACAGAAGUCUUCUCCUUCUCCAACUUCCGGACCUCAAUAACUUUCUGUGGUGCUGGGUUCUGCUUUUGAAUCCUAUAAUGGUGAGGAGAUGAUUCUAAUGGCAUCUGUGUCUCUGCUAGAAUCCUUGAUGCAGUUUCAGCCACCUUCUUUUGUUCUCGUUCACGCCACCUUCGAAGUUCUCCCUCAACUGCCCUCUUGGCUGCUUCAGCCAUCUCUGCCCUCUUCAAAGCCUCCUGAGUUGCAACCUUCAUAUUCUCAAUCUCCUUCUGCAUUGCCUCAAACCUCUUGAGAGCCUCAUUUUCACUAGCCUUUACAGCUUCUACCUGAGCCAUGGCUGCUGCCACUUUCAUUUCUGCCAAAGUGUCAGACUCCUCAACUUUCCGGCUCAGAGCCUCAUACUCCUCUCUGGAGAUUGUGAUAUUGGCACCAGACUCCGAAGUUGAAGCACGAGCAGCAUUAGUUUUCUCAGACAACAUCUUGAUCUGAUUGAGUGCCCUUGUCUCUGCUGUCUUUGCUUCCUCAGCUUCUUCCAGAGCAACACUCAACUUCUUCUCUGCUUCUUCAAGUUCAAUCCUGGUUGCUUCAGCUUCCUUCUUCAACUCCUCAGCCCUGUGCUUCAUUUCUACAGCUUCUUGUUGCGCAUUCUCUGCUUCUGAUGACAGCUGAUGGAGAGUUGAGAUCAUUUCUUCAGAUGUACCUCUUGCUUUAGAUUCCUCAGCAAGGGCUGCUUCAAGCUCAGCCUUGCUUUUGCGGAGCUUGACAUGCAGGUUCCCAGCAAUGGACUCCGUUUCCGCCUCUUUCUCCUUCAAUUCAGAAUGCUGCUUCUUCACAUUCUCAAGUUCCAGCUUAAGAGAAUCCAACAAACUUCGCAAGGAGCUUUCCUCUUCUGCUACUUUCUGCAAUGACUCCUUAGCACCAUCAAGCUCUGAAGUGACUGUUCUCACUGAAUCAAGAUCGGAAGCCUUAGCAUUUUCCAUCUGCUUUUGCAGAGCAUCGAUCUCAUUCAUUGUUUCAGCCAGUUGCUUUUCAAGAUUCCGGGCAAGUUCAGGAUCAAACUCAUUUUUCAAUGCAAGAAGUUUAUUUGCUGAUGUUUCCAGGGUAGCUUUAUAGGACUGCCUCAGAACAUCCUUCUCGGCAAAUGUUUUUGCUUGCUCUUGCUGGGCUUGCAGAGAUGCUAGCUUCACUUGCCCAAUUGAUUCCUGUAGAGAUGAGAUUUCCCUAGAAAGCUCACUAACUUUUUCCACAUUUGCUUUGACUGCAUGUUCUGCUUCUGCAGCUUGAUUUAAGGCAGCAAGUUUUGCUUCCAAGGAUGCAUCACAUCCCUGUCGAAUCUUCCGGAGUUCUUGCUUUGCAGCAUCAAGUUCAGUAAACACAGUCAUGUACUGUUCCCUGGCAGACUCCAGGUCCUGCUUCCUAGCACCAUCAGAUGCAGAAGUAUCACCACUCUUUGCUGCUUCAAUUUCCUUUGCCUGGCUUUUAGCAGUUUCUGUUUCCUUAAUUGCUGAAUCUUUAGAUUCAGUGACAUUUCCAAGUUUUCGGGUCAGAUCCUCAACUGUUCUUUUAGCCUUUUCAAGUUCAAUGAGUGCUUGCGCUUUAGUUGUUUCUGCAUUCUUCAGUUGAUCCUUUAACUUGUUCAGCUCCUUCUGGGCCAGGUGGAGCUGUGUUUCCUUGGCCAAAACUCUCUCUGCAGAAUGAGGUUUUGCCUUCCUGAUGGCUGGUUUUUCUCCUGAGAAAGUGCCUUCAUCAAAGAGUGUGACAGCAUCUUUAACAGACUGAAAUGGUGCACUGGUGUCAAUCUCUCCCACCUCUACUUUGGGAGAAUCUGUCGCACUUUGACGUUCUUUUGCACCCAUACCAAUUAAUUUAUAUAUAUUCUUAAAUUAUCACCUGUUAAAAACUCAUAAAACAAUAUUCAUUUAUAACAUGCAGGAAAAAAGACAGGUAACAAUCUCAAGCUAGCUACACAUCAAACAUCUACAAAAAUCUCUUGGAAGAUAGAAGUAAAUCACAAUCCAUGUAUAUUCUUUUAUAGAUUUACAGGACAUAUAAAUUAAAGAGCCAAUGCACCUCAUACAAGGCUUCAUGGGAAAACAAAUUGGAGAUAUGCAAUGCAUAUAUAAUCAAAAUCAUCAAAUCACCCAGCACCCUGUUGUAUUUUCAUCAUAUUCCCCACAGACAUUGUCUUCCUUAAUUCAAACAAAAUCCAUAACUCCAUAGAUGCUCCUUCAAAAUGCAAACCACAUGAACUUGAAAACCAAGGGGAAAUCUACAUAUUAUCAACCAUAGCUGCAUUUGACUAAAAUCGCUUUCAAUUUUCUUUUAUGCACCAUCUUUCCCUCUAAACAAUAAUACAACUUCAUAAAACAUGUAAGACCAACACAAUUUGAAUACAAUGAGCCACAAAAUCAAAUCAAGCAUUCACCAGACUCAUAAUUAGAAAUCCUAAUAGAAGCAUGAAUCCAAAAUGCAAGAGAACAAAUAAUAAACAGGACUGGCUGCAAACUUUUAACAACACUAACUUUGAAACUUCUGUUACAAGACAUUAUAAUCACCCACUUGCAAAUGCUAACUGUUACGCAGGUAAUAAACACAUGGGACAGACAUAUCCGGCAAGAACUAGCUUUUAUAUUCUCUAUCUAUCAAUAAUAACCCAGAAUCUUGUCCAAGUCGGCUAUUGGAUAUUUAACAAAGGUGCUUAAUAGUCUUGAAACCUUUUAAGAGCAUGAAAAAAUGAUCAAAAUGAAAAAUUAUCCAAGCAUGCUGCUAUCAGAAUCCUCGCUCCCCAAACCCAACUAAUCUGACUACACAAACAGCUAGGUUCAUAAAGAUCUUAAAACUGUACUAAGUUGUCAGGAACAAGCUUAUAGAUCUUGAGAACUUAUCAGGCCUUUCCAGUUUCCAUGACCUUCAGAGUCAAAUAACCACUGAAUGCACACAACCUAGUCCCACAUCCAAAUAAGGGUGACUAACAACAAAAGCAUCUUUCAACUUUUUAUCAUCUCUACUGCAAUCCAAACCUCACCAUUCUUCCCGUCUAAUGGUCCUACUAUUCUUAAACAAGUUCCAUGCUUCAGCAUUGUUACCAUUGCUAUCUGGCCACAUUUGUCCCUUUUGAUUCUUAAUCUGGCUUUG
This 3903-nucleotide unclassified non-coding RNA is filed under the name Hevea brasiliensis (rubber tree). Lineage: Eukaryota; Viridiplantae; Streptophyta; Magnoliopsida; Malpighiales; Euphorbiaceae. The record is from RNAcentral.